Molecule: long non-coding RNA, 2309 nt
Filed under: Homo sapiens (human)
Lineage: Eukaryota; Metazoa; Chordata; Mammalia; Primates; Hominidae
Description: non-protein coding lnc-TMEM176B-1:1
Source: RNAcentral
GUGCUAGCAUAGAAUCUAACAAGAAAUGGCCCUGCAUCCAUUCUCUUUUCUUCUAAUAACAGCCCCAGAUUUCCAUUUUUGGACCUACCUUUUCCUUUUUAUCAGGCUAAGUGUUCAUGGUGGGGCUCUGUCCUUAGUUCCAGGGAUAAAGCCUGUGACCCAAACUUAAACCGCAGAUCAUUUUCCCCAGGCCAUGGAGAUUGUUUCAAAUGUGGGCACAUGGCCUGAAUGGGUCAUAUCAGAGUAAAUCUUAGGGCUUCUGGGUUAUGCCACCAUCACAGGCUCUUGCUUUCCUCACUGAACUUGAACCUAGACGGAUGUAAGCUGGAGCUGUGGCAGCCAUCAUUGCCCUGUGAAAAGUCCACUUGGAGCUGCCAAAGACCACCCCAGGAGCUUCAGAAUGAAGACAACCUGGAAGUCAGAGCUGACAGAAAUAAGGUGAAGUUAGCUUGAGGAAAGAGCUGUAAGGAAGAGUGAAGUCAGCUGAGUCAAGGACACAAGCGGAAAAUGUGCAAAGAUGAGCCAGAAGCAUGGAAAAGUACCUCCAAGACAGAGGAGAACUGAUCCAAGAGAAAGGAGAUGGGAGUGGGCAUCACGUACAGCCAGAGGGCGCCACCUGCCGGUAAGAGCUGAAUAGUGAACUUCGUGUUUCUUGGGAUAAAACAUUGUAUAAUACACAGUACUGGGAAGAAAAUCAUAUACGCACUAAUGUGCCUCUACGUUAUACCGCCGUCAUUCCCCUAAUUUAUCACCCCCUUAUGAGUAAAUUCGGGUUACAAAAACUUGUGUAACAUAACAUUGUAUAUAUUCUUUGCAAUGUAUGCAAAUACACACAAAUAUGUAAAUAUAUGUUUAUUUGUUUGUAUACGCGUAGGAUAGUUUCAGAUGGAAACACCCAAAGUAGCAACACUGACUGCCUCUAGGGGGGGAAACCGAGCAUCUAGAAGGUGAGGUGUGUGUGGGUGUACUUUUGAGGUGUUGCCCACCUGUAUGUUUUGAAUAUUCUCUAAUCAAAAAAAAAAUUUAAAUAGAAUCAUUAAAAUUUUUUAAAACUGAAGACUUCCCCUGGAUCCUUUCCAUCAUCUUUAACUAGAACCAUUCUGGCUUUAUGACUAAACCUAUCUGCUUUGGUCAUUUACUUCUUUAAAACGAGACAACCAUGUGACAUCCUAGGAUCCAUCGAAUGACCUGGUUCACAAGAGAAGCCAGAGUGCAGUCAGGACAAGGCAAACAGCCCUUUACUGGAAGAAUUGGGCAAUCUAUCUGGUGAGAGGUAAGUUUAAAUAGGGCAGUGACACUGCACAACAAAGUCCCAUUUUUUGGACUUUAUGGGGGUUGAAAACCCUGCCUGACAGACUCAGAGUCCUUAACCAGACUGCCCCAGCGGGGAGAAGGGUACCAGGAGGGUUUCCACGAGGGCAGAGGCAGCAGGUGUCUGACUACCUACUCCAUUUGCAAGGACGAAUGGAAAGCCAGGGCUCACCACACAGGUGAACAGUAGAAGACUGCAUGAGCCGAUGGAAAAACAGACCCUAAGAGCAGCAGAAGAGGAGAAAGUCCAAAUAACAUCUUCAGUGAGAUUAAGACUAUAGUUUAUGGCAGUCUCGUGCAUCUAUCAACAAUAAGAACAUGCUAUAUAGAGAGACAAUUAGAAGACAAGAGUUACCUAGAGAUUGAAAAUAUAAUUGCUGAAGUUAAAAAACCCUUUAUUGGCCGGGCGCAGUGGCUCACACCUGUAAUCCUAGCACUUUGGGAGGCUGAGGCAGGCAGGUCACUUGAGCCCAGGAGUUCAAGACCAGCCUGGACAACACAGGGAGACCCUGUCUCUACAAAAAAAUUGCAAAGAUUAGCCGAGCAUGGUGGCAUGCACUUGUAGCUUGGGACUACAUCCUAGCUACGUGGGAGGCAUAGAUGGGAGGAUCACCUGGGCCCGGGAAGUGUGAGGCUGCAGUGAGCUGUGAUUGCACCACUGUACUCCAGUCUGGGCAACAGAGUGAGAUUCUGUCUCAAAAAACAAAAAAACAAACAAACAAAAAAACAAAACAAACAACAAAAACCACCUAAACUAAACUCCCCCCAAAAACCCUUUACUUAGAAAAUGAUGAAAAAGAGAAAGUGGCAUAAAAUAUUAGUGAAAAGUUAACAAUUCAAGAGGGCCAUCUGAGAUUGGACAUCCACUGGCAGGCAUCUCUGAGUGAGAACAGAAGAAAGAGGAAAUAUGAAGGCAUGGGAAGGGAGCUGCACAGAGUUAAGGAAGACUUUGGUUUGCAGAGCGAAAAGGAUUGCCUAAUGGAAGCACAAUAAGUAGG